Molecule: ribosomal RNA, 253 nt
Filed under: uncultured bacterium
Lineage: Bacteria
Description: partial 16S ribosomal RNA
Rfam family: Bacterial small subunit ribosomal RNA
Source: RNAcentral
UACAGAGGUCUCAAGCGUUGUUCGGAUUCAUUGGGCGUAAAGGGUGCGCAGGCGGCGUGGAAAGUUGAGUGUGAAAUCCUGGGGCUCAACCUCAGAACUGCACUCAAUACUCCCAUGCUAGAGGAAUGUAGAGGAGAGUGGAAUUCACGGUGUAGCAGUGAAAUGCGUAGAUAUCGUGAGGAAGACCAGUUGCGAAGGCGACUCUCUGGGCAUUUCCUGACGCUCAUGCACGAAGGCCAGGGGAGCAAACGGG